CGAGUGCAUGCGUAUUUCGUGCGCCACAUGGUUCGGUACAUGUAAUAUUUUUUAUAAGUGUUGAUUUUGUUUAUAUUUAUUACAAAAUGAGUGGCUCAGAUAUUGAUUAUGAUACCGAUGAAGAAGUAUCAGAAUCUCAUUCUAAACUCUUGGAAGCAGUAGCACAAUUAGAUAAAGGACAGAGAGUUAAGAAGCCAGAAAGAACAGAACCAACGUUAGAAGUAUCAGAAUUUCAUUUAGUUAAAAGUGGAAUAUCCGAUAAAAAUGCAGUAUCUGUUAAGAAUUUAGUAAGAUCGUUAGGAAAUAAAGGAUAUCAAACAGAGUUAAGCAAGAAAUUUAAUGCGGUUCAAAAAAAGACUAAAGUUCUUCCUAAACCAUUAGAAAAACCUUCUGCUGAUCGUAUUAAAAGAGCGGUCGGAUUUGAAAAGACUCAAAAAGAAGUAAGUAAAUGGAACGGAGUAAUAUCGCAUAACAGAGUCGCAGAAAAGGUAUAUUUCCCUUUGAAUAAAUUAUCUACUAAAGCGGACUCAAUUUCUAAAAUGGUUAAAAGAUUUACGCUACAAUCAGAUUUAGAAAAAAAAUUAGCGGAAUUAAAACCAAUACCAGAGCCAGAAGAAAUAGAAGAGAAAGAAGAUAAAGUUGCAAUGACUUUGGAAGAAAUAGUAGAAAGGAGAAAAGAAGCUGCUCACAUGAGAGCUUUACAGUCUUAUAAAGAAGCAAAAGCUCACAGACAAAAAAGGAUUAAGAGUAAAAAGUUCCACCGUGUUCAAAGAAAGGAAAGGAUUAAGCAACAAAUUAAAGAAUUUGAGGAACUACAAAAGUCAGAUCCGCAGACUGCUUUAGAGAAACUAUCGUUGCUUGAUAAAUCCAGAGCGAAAGAACGAGUAACGUUAAGACAUAAAAGUACAGGUCAAUGGGCAAAGAAUAAACAAGUAAGAGCUAAAUAUGACAAAGAAACGCGUCAAGAACUUGCUCAACAAUUGUCCAUCGGUAGAGAAUUGACGCAACAUCUGAAGGUAGCCGAUGAUAGUAGUGACAACGAUGACGAUGAUAAUGAUGGUGAUAAUGAGAAUUCAAUGUCUUUCAAACUUUCUGAUACUACAAAAGAAAAUCCGUGGAUAAAUGAAGUUAAAACUGAAAAUGAAAUUGAUGAGUUUAUCAACAGUUAUCGCAAAUAUUGGGAUGCAAAGAAUUCAGAAUCAAAUAAAAAGGAUUCUAAUUCUGAUCAAGUAAAUAAUAUAUCUCAGGCAAAUAAUACUGAACGUAAGCAAAAACAAGAUAACAAGACUGUUUCUUCUAAUAAAGAAUUAACUAUUAAAGCGAAUAAAUUAAAAAAGAAUGAGAAAUCUUUAAUUACCAAUAAAAAAGUGGAAAGUGAGUUUAAUGGAACGCUUGAUACAAAUGGAUCUUUAAAAAUCAAGAAAGUAAACAAAUAUAAUAAAGUGUUGAAAAAAGUUGCUGCUACAUCUGCUUGGGAUGUACAAGAUUGCAAUGAAUCUGUAACUUUUGAUGAUAUGAAAAAUAAUUCAAUAUCGCCAGUUGAGAAAAUAGAUGAUAUGUUCGAUUUAAUGGAAGAUAAAAUGCGAAAACAGGUUCGUACGCGGAUAAAUCGUGUUAAAAGCAAAUUUAAUAUUGACGCAGAGAAGGAAAAUCAUAACGCUGAUGAAUCUAACGUUGAAGAAUCUAAUAUUGAAGAAUUAGAAUUUAAAAAUAAGAGUCAAAAGCCAAUCUUGACUAAUCCUCUGGAAGAAGUAGCUAAAUCUGCAAAAACAUCAAAAAAUAAAGAUAUAAUGAAAUUGAAAGAGUUAGCAAAAAGUUUGGAUAAAACAACUGUCGAUGUAUCAACAAAUAAAGAUACGAAUAUAGAUCCGAACAAAUACAUUAAUGUAAAACCUAAACAUUUAAAGACUGAUUUACCAAAUGUUAUCACUGGUGGAGACGAUGUUUUAGACGAUAGCGAAGGUGAGGAAGAAAGAAAUGACGUAAUAAGUGAAGCUUUCGCAGACGAUGAUGUAAUCGACGAAUUUAGGAAAGAAAAAGAAGAGGAGAUUAAAAAAUCGCAACCAGAGGAUAUUGAUCUUACCUUACCAGGAUGGGGAUCUUGGGGUGGAACAAAUAUAAAACCAUCGACCCGGAAAAAGAAACAAUUUAUUAUAAAUGUACCAAAAGAGGAACCACGUAGAGACGAAAAUAAAGGCGAUGUUAUAAUAAUCGAAGACGACCAUGCCAAAAUAAGGGAACAUCAGUAAAAAAAUAACACGACACUAAUCGUGAAGAGGAAAGUGUUCGUAUCGGAAUACGAUAUACCGAGAUGUUUAUUUCCGUGUGAAAAAUGAUUAAUAGUUUUCCCAUGGAAGAAGGAAGACGAUGGGAACGUUUAAAUGAGACUUAAUCGCGAACACAAAUAUAAUCCGGUUUAAUAAUUUAUUUUCAUCGGUUGUUUAAAAGGAUUCUUUAUCUAUCUAUCUUUCUCUUUUUAUAUUUUUUAAUUCGUCACGCACGAAGUGUCUGAAGGGUUUAGAUCUUUACGCUCGAAGGAUGACAAAUAACGUUUCUCGUUUGGUAACAAAAGUAGAUUUAUCGUGGAAAAUAAUACAUUUUGAAUAAUCGAUCAUUGUUUAUUAAACGAAUCUGAUUACAAUAUUGUAAUCCAAAGUUUCCUUUUAAUAAUCGUUCACGCGUGCGUGUAUGGGUGGAUAUUUUUA
This 2705-nucleotide unclassified non-coding RNA is filed under the name Polistes fuscatus (common paper wasp). RNAcentral's name for it is "U3 small nucleolar RNA-associated protein 14 homolog A, transcript variant X1". The record is from RNAcentral. Lineage: Eukaryota; Metazoa; Arthropoda; Insecta; Hymenoptera; Vespidae.